GCGAGAUGGAUGCCGAAAAAGCUGAUGAAAAGGUGAAGACGACGAUGCAUUCGUGGUUCGCAGCUCAGCCCAAAACAUUUUUUAAUGAGAAAAUACAAAGGUCCUUCGGCAAAUGGACAAAGUGUAUACAGAAAUCGAGUGAUUAUGUCAAAAAAUGAUGUAUGUCUUUUUUGACAAUUGCUUAAAAUAAAUUCUACACCGACAGAGCGGGCUGUUAAUCUAGAGGCUGGAGUACAAAGAAGUGGCACAAUGAUGUGGGCUGAUGACAUUUAUAAUUAUCAAGGAAUCACCCCUACAUUCGCUCAGAAUUUUAAUGAAACUGUCCCUUGGGAAGGAAGAACUGAUACCUUGAUAUCACGGUUUGUACAUCCUAUAUAUACGACAAAUUUUAGAACAUUAUAUAACGAAGAACCAGAUCGUCGUGGCCAUGUGAUGUGAAUAAAAGGACUUGAAUUUGAUGAUAUUUUUAUAAUGUUAGAUAACAUAACUAAGUAUCUUCACAGUAAGAUAGGAUGACAUGGUUUACAUGAUCUUAAUGUUGUUCACUCGAGUGAUGAUAUUAUAAGGAAAAGUGUAAUAUCACAGGAUAUUUAUGUUUAGUAACCAGUAAUUCAGAGAUUGGUAUUCAUGGUUACUAUAACGAGGCUGUAGAAACGCACCCUUUCUUCUUUGCAAAUGGUCCUGUAUUUAUGUCUAAGCCGAAACUGGAACCUCUGAAUAAUUUAGAUUUAUUCUUGUUAUUUUCUAAAAUACUUAUCUACAGUAUACCAUAAGGAAUGAUACCGUAUCGCACCUAAUCAAGUGCCUUAAGAAACAUCAACAGGAUAUCACAGUAAUCCCUUAUCGACUGAUAUUUGUAGCCACUACAAUAUCUAUGACACUGGUAGUAAUUAUAAGAACAAUAAUGAUGUUCUAUAAGAGGAAAUGAUGAUUAGGAACAAAAACUUACAGG
Bombus huntii is the source of this 952-nucleotide long non-coding RNA. RefSeq lists it as uncharacterized. The transcript has 5 exons. The record is from RefSeq and is a predicted model, not a curated record. NCBI's taxonomy places the organism in Eukaryota, Metazoa, Arthropoda, Insecta, Hymenoptera, Apidae.